Molecule: long non-coding RNA, 701 nt
Organism: Pleuronectes platessa (European plaice)
Lineage: Eukaryota; Metazoa; Chordata; Actinopteri; Pleuronectiformes; Pleuronectidae
Exons: 5
Source: RefSeq, a predicted model, not a curated record
GUCCAAUCACAGCCUCGUGAAUGAAGCGUCAGUCUCCCGCAGACAUGAUGAAACUUCUGGCUCAUGUUUAGCAUGGUCCGAACGAAUGACUCUGUUUUCGGUGUAAAUAACUUGCUGCUGUCGACACGGCACUGUUUCCCUGGAGGAGAAGAUGAGUGCGUGGGAAAGCAAAGCCGCGGGCAGAUGGAGAAGAUGGGCGCACAGUCCCUAACUUACGGAAAAUCUCGGUCUCUUCACACCUCUAAUUCAAAUGGCCGGCGCCAUGAAGCGGAGCGAGGCCUGAUUCCCGCACACAACGAGGCAGUCACUGCACAUUAGGCCGAGACUCGCUGCAGGUCCGGAUUUGCAGUGCGGAAAACGAAGCCAUUUUAUCUGCCUGUACUAUGACGUACUAAGACACACUAUAAGCCUGUAUGAAGGAGCUUCCAGUACAUCCAUAUGGACCUUGCAUCAGCAUUGAGGAGUUCAGGAGUCGUCAGAGAAGAAAGAGGCUGAUCGAAGCGGGACAGAUGACAUGGAAUCCAUCCUUCCACAGCCAGGAGCUCACCGACCUGUGUGCCACACUUCAAAUAAGACUAAAAGCUACACAAAGAACUUGUGACCCAGAGGCUGCAAAGAGACAUUUCAAGCUUCACCUGAUUAGUUUUUGACUGGCUAGGCCAGUUGUUUGUACAAUAUUUGUGCUUUAUGUAAAUAAAGCU